GCCAACAUAGUUUUCUCCCGUUUGUGAGCGUUUUGGUGGCCCCCCAAUGCUUGUGAGCUGUGGAAUUCGCGAUGGCAGAACUUGCAGGUGAAGUAUUUUCUGCCGAGCCUCAGAUUCAGCCACUCCCCUCGUAGAUAUUUUUGUUGCUUCCCUUCUUCCAUUCUCAACCAAUUAACCUUCUUCUCUUGAUCAAUGGGAGUUGUGAUGGGUUUUUCUCCAGAUCCAUUCGCUUUUAAAUGAGCGAAAUUUUUGACGUCAAUUCAAGCUGACAACUGACUCUUCCGUUGCCUGCCAUCACCCUUCCCGAUUUAAUUAAAAUGUCAAUUUUAUAGGAAAUUGAGUGUUGAUAAUUGUUUUUUUGCUUGACUUGCUUUAUUUUGUAAACUGUGAUACUUGUCUGUAGUUUGGUGAAAUUUACAAAAAUAUUUAAGUUGAAUUACAAAGAGUGGUCUGUAGAUCAUGUUGAUACGAGUUUUUCGGCGCAAAUAGAUCGUGAAUCAAAGUUCAAACGAGAGAGAUAUGACUAAAACGAGAAAGUCACGUACAAUAAUGAAUAAUUAUUGCGCCGAGCUGAAGAAGGAUUUUACACUGGACAUCGACGACCUGCGGGGCCAGCCGCCGAGGUGUCCGCUUUUGGUCUAUUUUCGAAUUUUUAUCUAUAUUUUCGAGUUUUAUAUUGUGUUUAUCCUCUGUGCCUAUAUAUAGAACAUUUUGUUGGCAUAUUAGACACC
RNAcentral lists this long non-coding RNA (731 nucleotides) under Salvia miltiorrhiza (redroot sage). RNAcentral describes it as "long non-coding RNA (SMIL_LNC008848)". Lineage: Eukaryota; Viridiplantae; Streptophyta; Magnoliopsida; Lamiales; Lamiaceae. The record is from RNAcentral.